GCGCCGUAUUAGCUAGUUGGUGGGGUAACGGCCUACCAAGGCGACGAUACGUAGCCGACCUGAGAGGGUGAUCGGCCACACUGGAACUGAGACACGGUCCAGACUCCUACGGGAGGCAGCAGUAGGGAAUCUUCCGCAAUGGGCGAAAGCCUGACGGAGCAACGCCGCGUGAGUGAUGAAGGUCUUCGGAUCGUAAAGCUCUGUUGUUAGGGAAGAACAAAUGUGUAAGUAACUGUGCACAUCUUGACGGUACCUAACCAGAAAGCCACGGCUAACUACGUGCCAGCAGCCGCGGUAAUACGUAGGUGGCAAGCGUUAUCCGGAAUUAUUGGGCGUAAAGCGCGCGUAGGCGGUUUUUUAAGUCUGAUGUGAAAGCCCACGGCUCAACCGUGGAGGGUCAUUGGAAACUGGAAAACUUGAGUGCAGAAGAGGAAAGUGGAAUUCCAUGUGUAGCGGUGAAAUGCGCA
This 467-nucleotide ribosomal RNA is filed under the name Staphylococcus pseudintermedius. RNAcentral describes it as "bacterial SSU rRNA". It matches the Rfam family "Bacterial small subunit ribosomal RNA", at positions 233 to 692 of the family's 1533-position model. The record is from RNAcentral. Lineage: Bacteria; Bacillati; Bacillota; Bacilli; Caryophanales; Staphylococcaceae.